Molecule: ribosomal RNA, 491 nt
Filed under: uncultured bacterium
Lineage: Bacteria
Description: partial 16S ribosomal RNA
Rfam family: Bacterial small subunit ribosomal RNA
Source: RNAcentral
AGUGAACGCUGGCGGUAGGCCUAACACAUGCAAGUCGAACGGCAGCACAGUAAGAGCUUGCUCUUACGGGUGGCGAGUGGCGGACGGGUGAGGAAUACAUCGGAAUCUACUUUUUCGUGGGGAUAACGUAGGGAAACUUACGCUAAUACCGCAUACGACCUACGGGUGAAAGCAGGGGAUCUUCGGACCUUGCGCGAUUGAAUGAGCCGAUGUCGGAUUAGCUAGUUGGCGGGGUAAAGGCCCACCAAGGCGACGAUCCGUAGCUGGUCUGAGAGGAUGAUCAGCCACACUGGAACUGAGACACGGUCCAGACUCCUACGGGAGGCAGCAGUGGGGAAUAUUGGACAAUGGGCGCAAGCCUGAUCCAGCCAUACCGCGUGGGUGAAGAAGGCCUUCGGGUUGUAAAGUCCUUUUGUUGGGAAAGAAAAGCAGCAGGUUAAUACCCCGCUGUUCUGACGGUACCCAAAGAAUAAGCACCGGCUAACUUCGUG